CUACGGGCCGCUGCAGUGGGGAAUAUUGCACAAUGGGCGCAAGCCUGAUGCAGCCAUGCCGCGUGUAUGAAGAAGGCCUUCGGGUUGUAAAGUACUUUCAGCAGGGAGGAAGGGAGUAAAGUUAAUACCUUUGCUCAUUGACGCUACCCGCAGAAGAAGCACCGGCUAACUCCGUGCCAGCAGCCGCGGUAAUACGGAGGGUGCAAGCGUUAAUCGGAAUUACUGGGCGUAAAGCGCACGCAGGCGGUUUGUUAAGUCAGAUGUGAAAUCCCCGGGCUCAACCUGGGAACUGCAUCUGAUACUGGCAAGCUUGAGUCUCGUAGAGGGGGGUAGAAUUCCAGGUGUAGCGGUGAAAUGCGUAGAGAUCUGGAGGAAUACCGGUGGCGAAGGCGGCCCCCUGGACGAAGACUGACGCUCAGGUGCGAAAGCGUGGGGAGCAAACAGGAUUAGAUACCCUAGUAGUC
This 464-nucleotide ribosomal RNA is filed under the name uncultured bacterium. RNAcentral's name for it is "partial 16S ribosomal RNA". It matches the Rfam family "Bacterial small subunit ribosomal RNA", at positions 339 to 795 of the family's 1533-position model. The record is from RNAcentral.